UACGAAGGGUGCAAGCGUUACUCGGGAUUACUGGGCGUAAAGCGUGCGUAGGUGGUGGUUUAAGUCAGAUGUGAAAGCCCUGGGCUCAACCUGGGAACUGCAUUUGAUACUGGAUCACUAGAGUGCGGUAGAGGAUAGUGGAAUUCCCGGUGUAGCAGUGAAAUGCGUAGAGAUCGGGAGGAACACCAGUGGCGAAGGCGACUAUCUGGACCAGCACUGACACUGAGGCACGAAAGCGUGGGGAGCAAACAGG
RNAcentral lists this ribosomal RNA (253 nucleotides) under uncultured bacterium. RNAcentral's name for it is "partial 16S ribosomal RNA". It matches the Rfam family "Bacterial small subunit ribosomal RNA", at positions 524 to 776 of the family's 1533-position model. The record is from RNAcentral.